Molecule: ribosomal RNA, 425 nt
Filed under: uncultured bacterium
Lineage: Bacteria
Description: partial 16S ribosomal RNA
Rfam family: Bacterial small subunit ribosomal RNA
Source: RNAcentral
GUGGGGAAUAUUGCACAAUGGGGGAAACCCUGAUGCAGCGACGCCGCGUGAGUGAAGAAGUAUUUCGGUACGUAAAGCUCUAUCAGCAAGGAAGAAAAUGACGGUACUUGACUAAGAAGCCCCGGCUAACUACGUGCCAGCAGCCGCGGUAAUACGUAGGGGGCAAGCGUUAUCCGGAUUUACUGGGUGUAAAGGGAGCGUAGACGGUAUGGUAAGUCAGAUGUGAAAGCCCGGGGCUCAACCCCGGGACUGCAUUUGAAACUAUCAGACUAGAGUGCAGGAGAGGUAAGUGGAAUUCCUAGUGUAGCGGUGAAAUGCGUAGAUAUUAGGAGGAACACCAGUGGCGAAGGCGGCUUACUGGACUGUAGCUGACGUUGAGGCUCGAAAGCGUGGGGAGCAAACAGGAUUAGAUACCCUAGUAGUCC